Molecule: long non-coding RNA, 790 nt
Organism: Camelina sativa (false flax)
Lineage: Eukaryota; Viridiplantae; Streptophyta; Magnoliopsida; Brassicales; Brassicaceae
Source: RefSeq, a predicted model, not a curated record
UUCUCUUCUUCAUGUUCUCUCCAUUGCUCAUUUAAUUAAGUGUAAAUUCAGUUUUUGUUAUAAUAGAUCUGGAAGCCUUACUCGAUUUCAGGAGUUUUCUGAAUUUUGUUAUUACUAUCACUUGUAUAGCCCCUGGAGAUAUAUGAGUUCGUGGUUUUGAUUUUGAUAGAAAAGAGUAUUGCGAGGAAAAGAUCCGCUUUUCACCAGCAUUGCUGCAGCUGAUGCAGAAAUCAUCCAUUCUUCUAAAGAAUGGACUUACUGCUAUUCUCAUUUCAGAUAAAGAAUCAUCCUCAUCAGCUGCAGCGAUGCUUGUGAAAGCAGAUCUUUUCGAGAUCCUUAUGCUCAAGGUUUGGCGCAUCUUCUUGAACACAUGGUUUUUGAAGGUUCAAAACUAUAUCCGGACGGCGAUGAGAUCUCUGAAACUGCUUCUUGCUUGUGUUUGACAACUGUCAAGAACGAAGACAAGCUUGAGUUCAGCAAGAUUCUUGAGGCAUGGCAAUUGUUAUUGGUCUAUGCAUAUGCGUUAUGACUCUAUGAAGAAAUAGAGAUUUCACACAAAGCCAAAAAAGGCUUUAAGGUGAUCUGGAAUGGCGUUAGGCUGUUAAAUGGUAUGAGUUGGAGAUCUACUAGAGCUGCUUUGGUUUCUUAUUUGGUUUGGUGAAGAAAUGUAUUUGCGUUCUUUUUCUUUGAGUGUGAUUCAAGCAUUUGUAUCUUUUGGAUAUUUGAUAGAUUGAUUCUAUGUAAAAUGUAUGUUUUAUAUAUUUAAUGUAAUAUUAAUUUUAUUUAUGAA